AUGCCAGACUCCUACGGGAGGCAGCAGUGGGGAAUAUUGCACAAUGGGGGAAACCCUGAUGCAGCGACGCCGCGUGAGUGAAGAAGUCUUUCGGUAUGUAAAGCUCUAUCAGCAGGGAAGAAAAAAGACGGUACCUGACUAAGAAGCCCCGGCUAACUACGUGCCAGCAGCCGCGGUAAUACGUAGGGGGCAAGCGUUAUCCGGAAUUACUGGGUGUAAAGGGUGCGUAGGUGGCAUGGUAAGUCAGAAGUGAAAGCCCGGGGCUUAACCCCGGGACUGCUUUUGAAACUGUCAUGCUGGAGUGCAGGAGAGGUAAGCGGAAUUCCUAGUGUAGCGGUGAAAUGCGUAGAUAUUAGGAGGAACACCAGUGGCGAAGGCGACUUACUGGACUGUAACUGACGUUGAGGCACGAAAGUGUGGGGAGCAAACAGGAUUAGAUACCCCAGUA
Molecule: ribosomal RNA, 448 nt
Filed under: uncultured bacterium
Lineage: Bacteria
Description: bacterial SSU rRNA
Rfam family: Bacterial small subunit ribosomal RNA
Source: RNAcentral